RNAcentral lists this ribosomal RNA (253 nucleotides) under uncultured bacterium. RNAcentral's name for it is "partial 16S ribosomal RNA". It matches the Rfam family "Bacterial small subunit ribosomal RNA", at positions 524 to 776 of the family's 1533-position model. The record is from RNAcentral.
UACGUAGGGUGCGAGCGUUGUCCGGAAUUAUUGGGCGUAAAGGGCUCGUAGGCGGUCUGUCGCGUCGGUAGUGAAAACUCAGGGCUUAACCCUGAGCCUGCUUCCGAUACGGGCAGACUAGAGGUAUGCAGGGGAGAAUGGAAUUCCUGGUGUAGCGGUGAAAUGCGCAGAUAUCAGGAGGAACACCGGUGACGAAGGCGGUUCUCUGGGCAUUACCUGACGCUGAGGAGCGAAAGUGUGGGGAGCGAACAGG